Molecule: non-coding RNA, 69 nt
Organism: Cordylochernes scorpioides
Lineage: Eukaryota; Metazoa; Arthropoda; Arachnida; Pseudoscorpiones; Chernetidae
Source: the annotation of a GenBank genome assembly
GCGUAGUACUAGUGGUAGAAUGCUCGCCUGCAACGCGGGCGGCCCCAGGUUCGAUUCCCAGCCGAUGCA